Myotis myotis is the source of this 347-nucleotide long non-coding RNA. RefSeq lists it as uncharacterized. The transcript is spliced from 3 exons. Lineage: Eukaryota; Metazoa; Chordata; Mammalia; Chiroptera; Vespertilionidae. The record is from RefSeq and is a predicted model, not a curated record.
GAGAAAUGGCUUGGCAUUGCCUCGAGGCUUUGUUUAUCUGCUCUGAUCCGGCACUUUGCACUACAGGAGUAGGGGGGACAGCAAAACCCAGAUUGAAUUUCCGGAAGCCUUCCCAAACGUCGCAUAAGGCAUUAAUAGGGGGUCUUGUGGCAAAAUGAUCUCUUGACUUUUUGCAGUAGACCAUCAAGCAAAUACACACGUAACAUCUGAAGGACUCCAAUCUUAAUAUUGUGGCAGCAUCAAGUUCCUUCCAUCUCAGGCCCUUGCUCUUUGCAUCCCCACCAAAUGGCUCUGCUAAAGAAAGACUCAGGCUUUUGCUGAACUACUCCUGAAGAAAAGCAUCUUGA